GACGAACGCUGGCGGCGUGCUUAACACAUGCAAGUCGAACGGAAAGGCCCCUUUGGGUGUACUCGAGUGGCGAACGGUUGAGUAACACGGGAGUAACCUGCCCUUGACUUCGUUAUAACUUCAGUAAACUGGGGCUAAUACCGGAUAUGAAUCCUUGCUGCAUGGUGGGGGUUGGAAAGCUUCGGCGGUUUUGGAUGGACUCGCGGCUUAUCAGCUUGUUGGUGGGGUAGUGGCUUACCAAGGCUUUGACGGGUAGCCGGACUGAGAGGGCGAGCGGCGACCUUGGGACUGAGAUAAGGCCCAGACUCGUACGGGAGGCAGCAGUGGGGAAUAUUGCACAAUGGGCGGAAGCCUGAUGAAGCAACGCUGCGUGCGGGAUGACGGCCUUCGGGUUGUAAACCGCUUUCAGCAGGGGAGAAGCUUGUGGUGACGGUACCUGAAGAAGAAGCACCGGCUAACUACGUG
RNAcentral lists this ribosomal RNA (465 nucleotides) under uncultured bacterium. RNAcentral describes it as "partial 16S ribosomal RNA". It matches the Rfam family "Bacterial small subunit ribosomal RNA", at positions 28 to 507 of the family's 1533-position model. The record is from RNAcentral.